Molecule: non-coding RNA, 72 nt
Organism: Henosepilachna vigintioctopunctata
Lineage: Eukaryota; Metazoa; Arthropoda; Insecta; Coleoptera; Coccinellidae
Source: the annotation of a GenBank genome assembly
GUCUCCGUGGUUUAGUCGGGAGAACACCCACUAUGGUGCGGUAGGGUUCGGGUUCGAGUCCUGGUGGAGGCA